RNAcentral lists this ribosomal RNA (253 nucleotides) under uncultured bacterium. Its description in RNAcentral is "partial 16S ribosomal RNA". It matches the Rfam family "Bacterial small subunit ribosomal RNA", at positions 524 to 776 of the family's 1533-position model. The record is from RNAcentral.
UACGAAAGGGGCUAGCGUUGUUCGGAAUUACUGGGCGUAAAGCGCACGUAGGCGGCCUUGUAAGAUGGGGGUGAAAGCCCUGGGCUCAACCCAGGAAAUGCCUCCAAUACUGCAAGGCUCGAGGUCGGGAGAGGUGAGUGGAAUUCCGAGUGUAGAGGUGAAAUUCGUAGAUAUUAGGAAGAACACCAGUGGCGAAGGCGGCUCACUGGCCCGAUACUGACGCUGAGGUGCGAAAGCGUGGGGAGCAAACAGG